This 462-nucleotide ribosomal RNA is filed under the name uncultured bacterium. RNAcentral describes it as "partial 16S ribosomal RNA". It matches the Rfam family "Bacterial small subunit ribosomal RNA", at positions 28 to 507 of the family's 1533-position model. The record is from RNAcentral.
GACGAACGCUGGCGGCGUGCUUAACACAUGCAAGUCGAACGGAAAGCCCUUUCGGGGGUACUCGCGUGGCGGACGGGGGGGUAACACGGGGGGGAUCUGCCCCGCCCCCCGGGGUAAGCCUGGGAAAAUGGGUCUAAUACCGGGUAGGACCGGCCUUUAGUGUGUGUGGUGGAAAGUUUUUUCGGUGUAGGAUGAGCCCGCGGCCUAUCAGCUUGUUGGUGGGGUAAUGGCCUACCAAGGCGGCGACGGGUAGCCGGACUGAGAGGUUGGUCGGCCACAUUGGGACUGAGAUACGGCCCAGACUCCUACGGGAGGCAGCAGUGGGGAAUAUUGCACAAUGGGCGCAAGCCUGAUGCAGCGACGCCGCGUGGGGGAUGACGGCCUUCGGGUUGUAAACUCCUUUCGCCAGGGACGAAGCGUUUUGUGACGGUACCUGGAGAAGAAGCACCGGCUAACUACGUG